RNAcentral lists this ribosomal RNA (409 nucleotides) under uncultured bacterium. Its description in RNAcentral is "bacterial SSU rRNA". It matches the Rfam family "Bacterial small subunit ribosomal RNA", at positions 350 to 751 of the family's 1533-position model. The record is from RNAcentral.
AGCAGUGGGGAAUAUUGGACAAUGGGCGAAAGCCUGAUCCAGCCAUGCCGCGUGUGUGAAGAAGGUCUUCGGAUUGUAAAGCACUUUAAGUUGGGAGGAAGGGCAUUAACCUAAUACGUUAGUGUUUUGACGUUACCGACAGAAUAAGCACCGGCUAACUCUGUGCCAGCAGCCGCGGUAAUACAGAGGGUGCAAGCGUUAAUCGGAAUUACUGGGCGUAAAGCGCGCGUAGGUGGUUUGUUAAGUUGGAUGUGAAAUCCCCGGGCUCAACCUGGGAACUGCAUUCAAAACUGACUGACUAGAGUAUGGUAGAGGGUGGUGGAAUUUCCUGUGUAGCGGUGAAAUGCGUAGAUAUAGGAAGGAACACCAGUGGCGAAGGCGACCACCUGGACUAAUACUGACACUGAGG